Long non-coding RNA from Corticium candelabrum, 680 nucleotides. RefSeq lists it as uncharacterized. Lineage: Eukaryota; Metazoa; Porifera; Homoscleromorpha; Homosclerophorida; Plakinidae. The transcript is spliced from 3 exons. The record is from RefSeq and is a predicted model, not a curated record.
CUAGUAACUAUUGCAGAAGAACCCGUUUUUAAUUAAUCAUGUACUCUGCUGUUACUGCAAUUAAUUUGUUUGCAUAAGAAAUGUAUGGCAAACAGGUAGGAUCACAGGAAGCUGUUGAUCUGCGCCAUGGACAGUCUGUUGCCACAGAACACAGCUAUUCAUUAGCCUAAAAUAGAAGCAAUCCAUGAUCCAUUUUAACAUAAAACAGGAAUAACUUGUUCUGAACACUCAUUCUGAAAACUCUAACUACAAUCUGUUCCUCUCUAUAGAUCAAGGAAUAUGAACAAUCCAGGACAUUUGUUGUUGUGAAUUCAGUUAAUAUGUAGUGAUUCUAGAUGAGUAACCUGGAUAACUUCCAUUGUUGCACCUGCCAGAAGACGAAUUACAUUUGUGGUUUAGGCAUAAUUCACCUAUGUUUCGAUUAAUUAACAUUUUCUGGAUCUCGAUAAGUUCAUCUUUCGAGAUUCUCCACAGAGUUACACAGAAAGUGCCUUUUCUUCAGGGAGCUGCCGUGACCAGUUUUCUGAAGAAAUGAGUGCAACUAAGUUUGUAUAGCUGCAUUGCAUUUUGACUCGUAGUGCUUUUAGCUAUUGUACUUUGUACAUUUGAUAGAUUAUUUGCAGGAUCUUUUGGGAGACCAGCCAUGCUGAAAGAGAUUUCUGAAUAAAUUUGCAACAUGA